GUUUUUAUUUUCAUGUAGCAGAGAUGAAAAGUGGGUUCGGCCUACCAAUAUACUUGCUGGUGGGCCUGAGCAGAGUAGUCCACUUUCUUCUUCUUCGUUGAGAAAUCCUCCCAAGAAUCCCGAGUUCUCUGUUCUACCGUCCAGGUCAAACAAACACUUCUCAGAUUUUCUUCUCUCACAAAACCCAGCUCUCUUCUCACCCCAAAAAUGGAAAUUAAAUAAAUAAAAAAUAUUAAACCUGCUCUCCUUAUGAAUUCAUGCAACAGAGCUAAUUGGUGGGCUGAGGAAUCGAAGCCUCCUUCACCUCACCGCCCUCAAAUUCCAUCACAGUCACAUAGUUGACUGUAAAUUCUCCUUCUUUCUUCAAUCAGAUCCCCAGAUUCCCCACAAGCUUAAUCUGCCAGAAAAGCACAAUACCCAGGUGGGUAUUUUGUGCUGGAGUUCUGAAAUGGCGCCAACUGCUUAGAGGAAUUGGAUAAUGCAAUUGCAAAAUUGCAUCAAAACUUUCGGGAAUUGAGGUACCACCUUGAGAAGUCGUUCUUAGAGCAGGGCCUAUUGAAAUUUGAAGUUCAGUGGAAAGAUCUUAAGAAAGAUCAUAGCAGAUAAAACGAGCAGCGGUAGGUUCACUUGUAACAAAUGGUAUAUUCUUAUUGUUCUCUCAACUUUAUAUCAAUUUAGCUUUGGUUUUGCAUAUGAUGCAUUUUCGUGUGAGUUUAAAUGUGAUCUGAAUUUAAGUUAGUGCAUUGCCAUUGGGAUUUUUCACAUUUGUUCUAGACUUCUAGUUGUUCCAGUACUUAUUUGAUGUUCAACGAAAAUAAAAGGAUCUAUCGAUACUUCUUUCCAAUAGAAAACUAUGGUUGAACUGAGUUUUUCGGACUUUCCAAACACAAAAGAAAUAAAUGAGUUUUGUUCUGAGAUUCUUAUAUAGAAAUUUGAUCACACACCUUGUCAAUCCAAAUUUUAUCUGAGCAUAGUCCAAUUAAAAGGCAUAACUGAAUAUCUAGGGUUAUUCUGUCAUAUCGGGACUGUAUAGGUACAUCUUUUGUUCGUGUCGAGGCAAAUGCAGUGGUGUUUAACUUCUGUCAACCCAUGGAUGUUUAGUCGUUGUUGUAAUCCUGAUAAUUCUUGCGGUUCUAUUCCCUCAUCACUUAAGCUUUUGGGGCCAGUGGUUAACUAACAUGGUAUUAGAGCCUUGUUAGUAGUUUGCAAGAGGUAUUGGGUUCAAAACUUUUGAUCUCGAUGCCUGCUUCUAUGCUGUGUGAAUGGUGCAUGGUCAGGCUGCACUACUAUGUUCUUUUUCUCCUUCCAUCUGUUUGUUCCUCCACAUGCUGCCCAUUCUGCAUGUGAGGGAGGGUGUAAGCUUGGCAUCCCUUGUUCACCCAUUCCCUAACAUCUUAAGCUUUUGGGACCAGGGCCUGUGUAAUCCGUAUCUAUGGUAGAAGAAUCUGAAUAUGGCAUGUUGUAUGCUUUCCCAAUUAAAACUUCUUGUGGGGAGAUUCAAUCAAUGGAAGAAUAUUUAUUAGGCUUUGUUACAGUUAUGAUAUGCGUCUAGCUUCCCCCCUCCCUCCUUAUGAUAUGCCUCAUGUUUCAAAAUACCCCAUUCCAUCAAGUCUGUUGUGUUUCCGUUAACCAAGUUGAAGUGGCACUUACAUGGAAAACAUUUAUGGACUUUUUGCUAUAUUUUUAUUAUUUUAUUUCCUUAUUGUGUGCUUUGUGGUAUUUAAUGGUGUUGAAUGUACUCCCUUAAAGCAUUUGAAUAUACCACUUUUGUCAGCAUCGAUUUUUCUAAUAUUUGAUGUCAUUUUCAAAGACCCCAGAUCUGUUUAGCUAGCUUCAAAGUUCAUGUUAUAGUGACAAAUUCCCCUUCUACACUUUGUCGGAAAAUAAUCGAAGGGGCAGAAAAAGUUGUGUUGCACUUUCAACUGCAGGUGCUGAAUACAUAAGUGCAUCUGAAGCCGCAGCUCAGGCAAUAUGGUUGAGGUUUGUUCUGGAGGAUUUUGGAGAAUUACAAACUGAAGCAACCCCUCUUCACUGUGACAACACAUCUGCCAUUGCCAUUACCAAGAAUUAUGUGUUCCAUCAAAAGACCAAGCACAUUGAUAGGAGAUAUCACUUUAUCAAAGAUGCAUUGCAGAAAGGCAUUAUUGACUUGGUGUGUUGUCCCACAGAAGAGCAAUUGGCAGACAUCUUCACAAAGCCACUCGCAAAGGAUCGAUUCAGUCUUCUCAAAAGAAUGCUUGGAGUGAAAUCAGCUUUAGACUUAAAGGGGAGUGUUGAAUUUUAAGUCUAUGGCUGAUUUGGAAAUAAGCUGUGUAUCAAAUUUGUGCGUUCACUAGAGUUUAAAAUACCAAGUGUGCAGCUCAUAACGUUGUGGUAGGCUCCACGACACAUCUUCACUUAUCAUCAAUGUGGGAGAUGGGGACUGCAAGAAAACACGUUGAUAAAAAAAAAAGGUUAUUUUUUGCGAAUGAAAUAUUUGAAUCGUUGUUUGGAUGCUGCGCAUGAAGUAUGAUUACAUUUUUCUUAAUUUUGCAUAA
Molecule: non-coding RNA, 2537 nt
Organism: Malus domestica (apple)
Lineage: Eukaryota; Viridiplantae; Streptophyta; Magnoliopsida; Rosales; Rosaceae
Source: RefSeq, a predicted model, not a curated record